CAACCUGGUUGAUCCUGCCAGUAGUCAUAUGCUUGUCUCAAAGAUUAAGCCAUGCAUGUCUAAGUAUAAACACUUUUAUACACGUGAAACUGCGAAUGGCUCAUUAAAACAGUUAUAGUUCCUUUGGGAACAACACUACUUGGAUAACCGUAGUAAUUCUAGAGCUAAUACAUGCCUCAACGCCCGACUAACGAAGGGUGGUAUUUAUUGGAUAAAAAACCAUCGUGCUCUCUCGGGAGCGCUUUGAGAUGAUUCACAAUAACUUGUCGGAUCGCAUGGCCUCGUGCUGGCGACUCCUCAUUCAAAUUUCUGCCCUAUCAACUUUCGAUGGUAGAGUAUUGGUCUACCAUGGUGUCGACGGGUGACGGGGAAUUAGGGUUCGAUUCCGGAGAGGGAGCCUGAGAAACGGCUACCACAUCCAAGGAAGGCAGCAGGCGCGCAAAUUACCCAAUCCCGACUCGGGGAGGUAGUGACAAAAAAUAACAAUAGGGGGCUCUUUGGGCCUUCUAAUUGGAAUGAGAACAAUUUAAAUCCCUUAUCGAGGAUCCAUUGGAGGGCAAGUCUGGUGAACGUACGCAUAUCAAAAGCCCUCGUUAAACAAAAAACAGCGCCAGAUGUCUCUCCUGGAAGCAGGGCGGCAAGCCCGUGUGGAAGGCGAGUAGGCAAACGAUGGGACCCUUGAAGGCGGCCUUUGGAAUAAGACGGCCCGAAAAAAGACCACAGAGCCCCCAUCCUACACUUCUAAAUUGCCGGGGAGUGCCCGCUAGGCCUUGACUACCGCGGUCCGCCGAGAGGUGAGAGCGAGCAAUCGUUCAGGACGCAGCAGUGUACGUAGUGGUACAUGGAUGGUAAAAACGUCAAGGAUAGGGUUGAUCCGCAGGGAAGCGCGAGUGCCGACCUGGGCCCCCCCCCCUCCCUGGGGGGGGCAAGAGCCGGCAAAGGCGAACCUUCAGAGACUCUAAUGGAGUGGGCGCAAGCUUAAGGGAGAGUCCAAUCCACUGGGAAACCAGGUCCACAGCAGUAACGGGGUGAUGCUCGCCCCAGAGGACUGUGGAAGGCAACCACCCACAACAAAGGGGUGUGUGUGUGUUGUCGGGUAGCAAUGGCCAGCAGCCGCGGUAAUUCCAGCUCCAAUAGCGUAUAUUAAAGUUGUUGCAGUUAAAACGCUCGUAGUCGGACCUUGGAGCGACCUCACGGGCCGGGCUCCUGUCAUGUUUGCCCGUGAGAGUCUGUCUCCAUCUUUGUCGGGACGCGGUGUGUGGGGACUUUAGUGACUCCACGCGUUUACCUGCGGGCCGACCGUUUACUGUGAAGAAAGUAAAGUGUUUAAAGCAGGCCAAUGCCUUGAAUAUGUGAGCAUGGAAUAAUAGAAUAGGACUUGGGCUCUAUUUUGUUGGUUUCCAGUGACCAAGUAAUGAUUAAUAGGGACGGUUGGGGGCAUUCGUAUUUCAUUGUCAGAGGUGAAAUUCUUGGAUUGAUGGAAGACGUACAACUGCGAAAGCAUCUGCCAUGGAUGUUUUCAUUGAUCAAGAACGAAAGUUAGGGGAUCGAAGACGAUCAGAUACCGUCGUAGUCUUAACCAUAAACGAUGCCGACUGGGGAUUGGCGGGGGCACUACUAUAUGACUCCGUCAGCACCCUGAGGGAAACCAAAGUCUUUGGGUUCUGGGGGGAGUAUGGUCGCAAGGCUGAAACUUAAAGGAAUUGACGGAAGGGCACCACCAGGAGUGGAGCCUGCGGCUUAAUUUGACUCAACACGGGAAAACUUACCAGGUCCGGACAGAAGAAUGAUUGACAGACUGAAAGCUCUUUCUUGAUUUUUUGGUUGGUGGUGCAUGGCCGUUCUUAGUUGGUGGAGUGAUUUGUCUGGUUAAUUCCGUUAACGAACGAGACCUCGUCCUGCUAAAUAGGUGCGCGCAUGCUUGCACUGUGUUCUGACCUUCUUAGAGGGACUGUGCGCGUCUAGCGUACGGAAGAUUGAGGCAAUAACAGGUCUGUGAUGCCCUUAGAUGUUCUGGGCCGCACGCGCGCUACACUGAUGCAUUCAACGAGUUUCGCUUGAUAGUCCUGGGCCGGAAGGCUCGGGUAAUCUUUUGAAAGUGCAUCGUGCUGGGGAUAGAUCAUUGCAAUUAUUGAUCUUAAACGAGGAAUUCCUUGUAGGCGCAGGUCAUCAGCCUGCGCCGAAUACGUCCCUGCCCUUUGUACACACCGCCCGUCGCUCCUACCGAUUGAAUGGUCCGAUGAAAUGUCCGGAUCGCGGUUAUUGUGAUGGACUAGUCCAGAGCGGUAGCUGUGAGAAGCUCAUUAAAUCUUAUCAUUUAGAGGAAGGAGAAGUCGUAACAAGGUUUCCGUAUUUUGUGGAUGGAUACCCGAGUCAAAACACACAUCCAGGGUUGCCCCUUCGUGGGGAUGACGAUGUUGUUGCGGUAUAGGGUCCUUCCGUAGGAAAACGUACACGAAGCCUUUGCGGCCCGAAAGGGUGCACAGUGCGCGACUAUAAACACUGAUUCUGUGGUCAACGCAAGCAGCGGUUCUUCUGUGCGGAACAGCUGCGACUUUCUCAAAUUGCGGGAACACCCUAAAGUCAACAAACACCGCGGCUUGACGUGAAAGCGUCAGGCGCAGCAGCCGGGGUAGUGCCCUGGCGGAAGGUAAUAGCUUUGUUGAAUGGUAUGUAUAUACACAAUGGGCAAUCCGCAGCCAAGCCCCUAAGGUCCUCCGUGGCUAUGGGGAAGGUUCACAGACUGUAAGGGAAGGGGUUUCUUCCACAAGAGAAGAAGCUUAAGAGACAGUCGGUCCCCUGCGAAAGCAGUGUCCCAUGUGAGGAAGGUGCCCAUGAAAAGUGGGCGCUGGAGAGCCAUGGGAACCUCUCUAUGAGGAUGGGGAGUUUUCCUAGAUAACAAUGAGAAACACACGUUCCGUAGGUGAACCUGCAGAAGGAUCAAGCU
RNAcentral lists this ribosomal RNA (2947 nucleotides) under Pyropia retorta. Its description in RNAcentral is "SSU rRNA". The stretch from base 2 to 2371 matches the Rfam family "Eukaryotic small subunit ribosomal RNA". The record is from RNAcentral. Lineage: Eukaryota; Rhodophyta; Bangiophyceae; Bangiales; Bangiaceae.